GCAGCAGGCGCGUAACCUUUACAAUGCACUAACGUGUGAUAAGGGGACUCCAAGUGCUCAUGCUUUGCAUGGGCUUUUGCCAAGAGUGAAAAUCUUGGCGAAUAAGUGGUGGGUAAGACUGGUGCCAGCAGCCGCGGUAACACCAGCGCCGCAAGUGGUGAUCGGUUUUAUUGGGCCUAAAGCGUCCGUAGCUGGUUAUGCAAGUCUCUUGUGAAAUCGAGGAGCUUAAUUCAUCGGACUGCAGGAGAUACUGUGUAGCUAGGGACUGGGAGGAGUGAGAGGUAUUUAGGGGGAAGCGGUAAAAUGCUAUAAUCCUCUAAAGACCACCGAUGGCGAAGGCAUCUCACUAGAACAGAUCCGACAGUGAGGGACGAAAGCCAGGGGAGCAAACCGGAUUAGAUACCCGAGUAGUCCUGGCCGUAAACUCUGCGAGCUAGGUGUUGCAUAUUCUUCGGGAAUAUGCAGUAUCGUAGCGAAGGCGUUAAGCUCGCCGCCUGGGAAGUAUGGUCGCAAGACUGAAACUUAAAGGAAUUGGCGGGGGAGCACUACAAGGGGUGAGGCGUGCGGUUUAAUCUAACUCCACGCAGAGAAUCUCACCAGAAGCGACGGCAGGAUGAAGGACAGGCUAAAGACCUUUCUUGACGAGCCGAGAGGUAGUGCAUGGCCGCCGUCAGCUCGUGCCGUAAGGUGUCCAGUUAAGUCUGGUAACGAGCAAGACCUGUAUCUACAAUUGCCAGCGGGUAAUUUUUUACGACCGGGCAUAUUGUAGGAACUGCCUUGGAAACAAGGAGGAAGGUGCAGGCAACGGUAGGUCUGUAUGCUCCGAAUCUUCUGGGCUACACGCGCGCAACAAUGGUAAGGACAAUGGGAUGCAACUCCGAAAGGAGAAGCUAAACCUCGAAAUCUUAUCCAAGUUCAGAUUGAGGUUUGUAACUCAACCUCAUGACGCUGGAAUCCCUAGUAAUCGGAUUUUUUCAUAAUCCGGUGAAUAUGUCCCU
This 998-nucleotide ribosomal RNA is filed under the name uncultured euryarchaeote. RNAcentral describes it as "bacterial SSU rRNA". It matches the Rfam family "Archaeal small subunit ribosomal RNA", at positions 332 to 1331 of the family's 1478-position model. Lineage: Archaea; Methanobacteriati; Methanobacteriota. The record is from RNAcentral.